GGCACGGGCGGUGAAGAACCGGCGCUUGUUUAGAAAUAACGAGGCUCGGCUGUGACCGCUCAGCGCCCCUGCUGAUGGGGAGGGUGGGGGAGAGAACUGGAACCGCCUUUUCCCUGGGAAGAGAUGCUACCAAAAAAUAAAAAUAAAAAAAGGAUCCUUCAAGCGGUCUCCGUCGGCGCACCCCACACUUUGUUUUUUUGUUUGUUUGUUUGUUUGUUUUGUUUUUUAGUGAAAGAUGAAGCCAAAUCAGAUGUCAGGUGAUAAACCGAAGGAUAAAAGCACCUAACACAAAUGGCGAAUAGAGGGAAAUGAACGGUAGAAAGAACGUUGGCAUUAUCGAAUCGAGUGUUGGAAGCUGAAUUUCUGUCAGCAUUGAAGAGCCACGAAAAGCCAAGAAAGCUCCCUAGGAAAACGAGUAACUUGCCACAGUCUCAGAAUUGUUGGAACUAAACUUCAUUCGAUUCUACACCGAGUCCUUUCCGUACUACACCACUGCUUCUCACAUCACAGGAAGAGAAAAGCCUGAAAAACCAUACUUACCGUGAAGUCAAUGAAUUUGAAGCAUAUGUAAUUUUAGCAUAUGUAUCAAGGUUUGACCAAUUCCCCAAAAAUUAUGGCUAAUAAUGUCUUCCCUAAUUACCACACUGAGGCAAAGGGAGAAGAGGGAGAGAAUGAAGAAAAUAAAAAAAGAAUGAAUUUAA
Molecule: non-coding RNA, 701 nt
Organism: Cricetulus griseus (Chinese hamster)
Lineage: Eukaryota; Metazoa; Chordata; Mammalia; Rodentia; Cricetidae
Source: RefSeq, a predicted model, not a curated record